RNAcentral lists this microRNA precursor (111 nucleotides) under Ovis aries (sheep). Its description in RNAcentral is "miRNA (ENSOARG00000022750.1)". The stretch from base 18 to 82 matches the Rfam family "mir-155 microRNA precursor family". Lineage: Eukaryota; Metazoa; Chordata; Mammalia; Artiodactyla; Bovidae. The record is from RNAcentral.
UUGCUGUGGGCUGUGUGCUAUUAAUGCUAAUCGUGAUAGGGGUUUUUACCUCGGACUGACUCCUACAUGUUAGCAUUAACAGGGCACGGCGCCUGUUACGAGCGUUCGCAU